Molecule: ribosomal RNA, 331 nt
Filed under: Ctenogobius boleosoma
Lineage: Eukaryota; Metazoa; Chordata; Actinopteri; Gobiiformes; Gobiidae
Description: partial large subunit ribosomal RNA
Rfam family: Bacterial large subunit ribosomal RNA
Source: RNAcentral
CUUUUGCAUCAUGAUUUAGCUAGAAAAUCUCAAGCAAAGAGCACUUUAGUUUGAUUCCCCGAAACUACGUGAGUUACUCCAAGACAGCCUAAUAAUAGGGCAAACCCGUCUCUGUGGCAAAAGAGUGGGAAGAGCUUCGAGUAGAGGUGACAGACCUACCGAACCUAGUUAUAGCUGGUUGCCUGAGAAAUGAAUAGAAGUUCAGCCUAUCGGAUUCUUCCCUCACCUCUGUUUUCCUCCCCCUGACAGCUUAAAGAAACCGAUAGAGUUAGUCAAAGGGGGUACAGCCCCUUUGACAUAAGACACAACUUUCCCAGGAGGGUAAAGAUCA